GAGUAGACACUGCGGUGCGGUUCGCUCGCCGUCCCAGUCGGAGCUGAGUGUGGGGUCCCAGUGGCUAAGCAGCGCGGCCCCGUGGGCAGCGGCCGAGGGCGGGAGCCCGGGCAGCGGAGCCAGGCCGCUCCCUGGCCCCCCGGCCCCGCCCGCUGCCGCCGCCGCCGCCCACACAUCCGGCAGGAAAGGCGGCCCGAACCCGCCGCCGCCGCUAACGCCAACAACACCAGCGACGCCGCUCGCCCCGGGGCCCGCCGCCCCGGCGCCUGCCGUCGCCGCCUCUUCAGUCGGACUCUCCGCCAUCGCUCCUUCGCUUCCGGGACUGCUCGGCAGCACGUCCGCCGACCAGAGCGGCCGCUGCUCCCUCCCCCUCCCCGCACCACCGAGAGCCGGGCCAGAGUGUCCCCACCCUCCGCUUCCCCGGCCUGGGCGGCGUUGGCUCCGCCCACCCCCGCCCCGACCAGCGAGAGGCACUCUGCAAGAGCGUCCACCCACAGUCCUCCAGGGCGGGCGGGGGUCGGAGCUCGCCGGCCAAGCGAGGGUACUGGGCCUGCGCGGGUCCCGCGCUUUGCGGGAGGAAGUUCUGAGGCGGAUCCGGACUCCUAGGUGCAAUUGAGGACCCAAUUCCAAGGAAUAUUUUAGUUUCAAGCGUUGAAAGGGGAGGAGAGGAGGACCAUUUACCACAUCUAGGAAAGCGACCCUCAGACGUGCCCAAGGGGGCUGGCCAAGCUUGUACAAAGAAUCUUCAACUCAAGGUCUAAAGGGCUGCAGCUGCUUGAAGGACCAGCUCACCAACCCCCAAGGGAACUCCAGAAGGCCUCUAAACUGGGAAGAGGAAGGACCAGGGAGAGGCUGGCAGAACUUUGUGAACUGGCAUUGCUUAGUCCAGUGCUCACUGACUUUUUCAAGGCAACACCUGGCUGCUUUUCCCUGGCAACUUGGCCAGAGGGCAAGAGUGUGCCUUCUGGAGCCACUCCCAUGGCCUCUGGGGAUGGAUGAUACAACCAAGCUGUCUUCCGACAGGAAACUGGAUCCAACCCUCUCUCUCCUCCCCAGCACGCUGGACUGCAUUGAGCCAUCUCUUAGUGCAGCAAAGUUUGGUAGCACCUUGCUCAUGGCAACCUGGAAAGCACUCUCCCCCAAGACAGAGACCAGCAAGUAUCCUGGAGUUCAGGUCACUGCUGUGCUUCAACCCUCUAAACAGAUACAUCGUGAAGAUCCUUCUCCCCUUCCCCAAGGUCCUGUGUCCCCCUGCUCUCUGGAGCAGUCCUUCCCCUCCAGGGCCUAGCCUUUCGUCUUGGGCUCAGUGCCAGGAAUAGAUGAAGAGUUCCCACCCAGGUCACAAAUUGGGGGCUAAAAGGAAAAAUCAGAACUUGGACUGGGUGUUGGAGGCUUCUGAUUAUAAGUAAUAAUAGCUAUAUUAAAAUUUUUAAUAAUA
Long non-coding RNA from Mesoplodon densirostris (Blainville's beaked whale), 1438 nucleotides. RefSeq lists it as uncharacterized. Lineage: Eukaryota; Metazoa; Chordata; Mammalia; Artiodactyla; Ziphiidae. The record is from RefSeq and is a predicted model, not a curated record. The transcript has 2 exons.